GAGUUUGAUCCUGGCUCAGGACGAACGCUGGCGGCGUGCCUAAUACAUGCAAGUCGAGCGAGCUUGCCUAUAUGAUUUUAAUGCUUGCACUAUAUGAAACUACAGACGAGCGAGCGGCGGACGGGUGACUAACACGUGGGUAACCUGCCCGAGAGACCGGUAUAACACCUGCAAACGCAUGCUAAUACCGGAUAACAACUCUAGACGCGUGUCUACAGUUUGAAAGAUGGUUCUGCUAUCGCUCUUGGAUGGACCUGCGGUGCAUUAACUAGUUGGUAAAGUAACGGCUUACCUAGGCAAUGAUGCAUACCCGAUUUGACAGACUGAUCGGCCACAUUGGGACUGAGACACGGCCCACAACUCCUACGGGAGGCAGCAGUGGGGGAUAUUGGACGAUGCGGGGAACCCUGAUACAGCUACCCCACUUGAGUGAAUAGUUAUUUCGGUAUGUAAAGCUCUAUCACCAGGGAAGAAACACCUGACAGUACCUGACUAACAACCCCCGGCUAACUACGUGCCCACACCCUCGGUAAUACUUAUGGGGCAAGCGUUAUCCGGAUUUACUGGGUGUAUUGGGAGCGUAGACGGUUACGCCAGUCUGGAAUGAGAGGCGGGGGCCCGACCCCCUGACUGCUUUAGAAACUGUAGAACUGGAGUGCGUGACAGGUAAGUGCAAUUCCUAUUGUAGCAGUGACAUGCGUAAAUGUUACGAUGAACGACAGUGGCUGAAGCG
This 733-nucleotide ribosomal RNA is filed under the name uncultured bacterium. RNAcentral's name for it is "bacterial SSU rRNA". It matches the Rfam family "Bacterial small subunit ribosomal RNA", at positions 9 to 723 of the family's 1533-position model. The record is from RNAcentral.